UACGUAGGGGGCAAGCGUUGUCCGGAUUUACUGGGCGUAAAGCGCGCGUAGGCGGAACGAUCAGUCCGGUCUGAAAGCCCCCGGCUCAACCGGGGAGGGUGGCUGGAAACUGUCGUUCUUGAGGGCGAGAGAGGAGGGUGGAAUUCCUGGUGUAGCGGUGAAAUGCGUAGAGAUCAGGAGGAACACCCGUGGCGAAGGCGGCGUCCUGGACCAACACUGACACUGAGGAGCGAAAGCCAGGGGAGCAAACGGG
Molecule: ribosomal RNA, 253 nt
Filed under: uncultured bacterium
Lineage: Bacteria
Description: partial 16S ribosomal RNA
Rfam family: Bacterial small subunit ribosomal RNA
Source: RNAcentral